Molecule: unclassified non-coding RNA, 345 nt
Filed under: soil metagenome
Description: partial contains 5.8S ribosomal RNA, internal transcribed spacer 2, and large subunit ribosomal RNA
Rfam family: 5.8S ribosomal RNA (bases 1-120)
Source: RNAcentral
GAUGAAGAACGCAGCGAAAUGCGAUACGUAAUGUGAAUUGCAGAAUUCAGUGAAUCAUCGAGUCUUUGAACGCACAUUGCGCCCCCUGGUAUUCCGGGGGGCAUGCCUGUCCGAGCGUCAUUGCUGCCCUCAAGCACGGCUUGUGUGUUGGGCCUCCGUCCUCCUCCCGGUGGACGGGCCCGAAAGGCAGCGGCGGCACCGCGUCCGGUCCUCGAGCGUAUGGGGCUUCGUCACCCGCUCUUGUAGGCCCGGCCGGCGCUUGCCGACACAUCAAUCUUUUUUCCAGGUUGACCUCGGAUCAGGUAGGGAUACCCGCUGAACUUAAGCAUAUCAAUAAGCGGAGGA